GCAAUCUGCGUUACACUAAGGGAUAGCCCAGAGAAAUUUGGAUUAAUACCUUAUAGUAUAUUGAUGUAGCAUUACAUUAUUAUUAAAGAUUUAUCGGUGUAAGAUGAGCAUGCGUCCCAUUAGCUAGUUGGUAUGGUAACGGCAUACCAAGGCUAUGAUGGGUAGGGGUCCUGAGAGGGAGAUCCCCCACACUGGUACUGAGACACGGACCAGACUCCUACGGGAGGCAGCAGUGAGGAAUAUUGGUCAAUGGGCGCAAGCCUGAACCAGCCAUGCCGCGUGCAGGAUGAAGCAUCUAUGGUGUGUAAACUGCUUUUGUACGGGAAGAAACACCUCUUCGUGAAGAGGCUUGACGGUACCGUAAGAAUAAGGAUCGGCUAACUCCGUGCCAGCAGCCGCGGUAAUACGGAGGAUCCAAGCGUUAUCCGGAAUCAUUGGGUUUAAAGGGUCCGUAGGCGGUUUUGUAAGUCAGUGGUGAAAUCCGGCAGCUCAACUGUCGAACUGCCAUUGAUACUGCAGGACUUGAAUUAUUGUGAAGUAACUAGAAUAUGUAGUGUAGCGGUGAAAUGCUUAGAUAUUACAUGGAAUACCAAUUGCGAAGGCAGGUUACUAACAAUAUAUUGACGCUGAUGGACGAAAGCGUGGGGAGCGAACAGGAUUAGAUACCCUGGUAGUCCACGCCGUAAACGAUGGAUACUAGCUGUUUGGUAGCAAUACUGAGUGGCUAAGCGAAAGUGAUAAGUAUCCCACCUGGGGAGUACGGGCGCAAGCCUGAAACUCAAAGGAAUUGACGGGGGCCCGCACAAGCGGUGGAGCAUGUGGUUUAAUUCGAUG
This 834-nucleotide ribosomal RNA is filed under the name uncultured Bacteroidota bacterium. Its description in RNAcentral is "bacterial SSU rRNA". It matches the Rfam family "Bacterial small subunit ribosomal RNA", at positions 121 to 956 of the family's 1533-position model. Lineage: Bacteria; Pseudomonadati; Bacteroidota. The record is from RNAcentral.